Molecule: ribosomal RNA, 497 nt
Filed under: uncultured bacterium
Lineage: Bacteria
Description: partial 16S ribosomal RNA
Rfam family: Bacterial small subunit ribosomal RNA
Source: RNAcentral
GAUGAACGCUGGCGGCGUGCCUAAUACAUGCAAGUCGAGCGAACGGACGAGAAGCUUGCUUUUCUGAUGUUAGCGGCGGACGGGUGAGUAACACGUGGAUAACCUACCUAUAAGACUGGGAUAACUUCGGGAAACCGGAGCUAAUACCGGAUAAUAUUUUGAACCGCAUGGUUCAAAAGUGAAAGACGGUUUUGCUGUCACUUAUAGAUGGAUCCGCGCUGCAUUAGCUAGUUGGUAAGGUAACGGCUUACCAAGGCAACGAUGCGUAGCCGACCUGAGAGGGUGAUCGGCCACACUGGAACUGAGACACGGUCCAGACUCCUACGGGAGGCAGCAGUAGGGAAUCUUCCGCAAUGGGCGAAAGCCUGACGGAGCAACGCCGCGUGAGUGAUGAAGGUCUUCGGAUCGUAAAACUCUGUUAUUAGGGAAGAACAUAUGUGUAAGUAACUGUGCACAUCUUGACGGUACCUAAUCAGAAAGCCACGGCUAACUACGUG